This 283-nucleotide long non-coding RNA is filed under the name Elaeis guineensis (African oil palm). RNAcentral describes it as "long non-coding RNA (EGUI_LNC056775)". Lineage: Eukaryota; Viridiplantae; Streptophyta; Magnoliopsida; Arecales; Arecaceae. The record is from RNAcentral.
UGGGUUUCACUACUGUGGAUCAAAUUUGAGGCAUCAAAACCCAACAAUCUCUAUCUCGACUUGACAUUUGACCUUCAAUGGCCGUCAGUAUUACAAUAGAAAUACUUUCCUUUAUUUGCAACCUUUUUUGGAGUGUCCUUCUUUGGCUUUUUCUCUUUCUUCUACUUCUUCAUAGGUAUGUUCUUUUUUUCCCUGAAGAUUUUUUUUGAAAGAAGAUGCCUGCUCCACAAUAAGAACGAAGCCCUUUGAACUCUUCGAGGUCCCCUCUGCAGUAAUCAACAUG